CGCCCCCGGCGUGCUGCUCCGCGAGCCUGGCGCUCCUCAGAGCCGAGUUGGGGAGACCGGUAGGGUGGCGGCUACCGGCCUGGGCGGAGAACGGUACUCCUUUAUGCAGCGGUUAGGGCCCGGCACUCCUGCGCAGGCCCAGCGCGGCUCGGGGUCCUGCCUUUUUCCGGGCUGGCCCCGGGAGUGGUGGGCGUGGGUCAGGGCUAAUGUGAGAGGCAGGCUAUGGACUGUGCCCCCCACCCCUGCUACUGGGGGCGGAACUUCCCCUCCGAGGUCCAGGAGACUUUGGGUUCUCCACUCUGGCGGCCCCGACUCGACCCUCCUUGCCCACUCCCUUUUGCCAGUGUGGGUGCCUUCCGCACAGGCCAUCAUCCAGAAAUACAGCUGUAGCCUCGAGCCUGCGUGAGCUCGGUGGGUUUAACUACACGCGUGUGUCCGUGUUCAACUACCGUGUGAGGAUUGCGCCUGAAGCCCCAGCCUGUGGGCAGGCCUGGACCAUCCAAAGGAGGAGCAGGUGCUCUGGUUUCGGAAGCACUGGUGCCAGUGCAGAGCUGGAGGACCAUUCCAUGGACCCAUGGCGCCUGGAAGGGCUUUGGCCCGACUGCUGGCAAGGACAGUCAGGGAACUGGGAGCCAGUGUGUGGCCUUCUGUCUCACCGGCCGAAUUGCCUGCGAAUCUAGUCAAUAGAGAAUCCGAAACAUACAGGGAGGGAAUUCUGGGAAAUGAAGCUGUUUCCAAGUUGACAUAUGAAAAAGCACCACUCUCCACGGUCAUCUUGGCAGUCAUGCAUCCUCUUUAAACCAUACUGCACUUCAUAUAAAGACCCAAGGCUAUCCUUGACAGUCUGAGCUUGAGCCUGACAGACCUACAGGUGGGUACAGUCCCAGUUCUCACUCUGAUCUUCAAACCUACUAGUCCAGCUGUGGCCUUGACAUGACUCUUGGAUGUCUCCUCUGACCACCCAUUCUGCACUUCAACUAUUGCCUCAAUAACCUCACAUGUCAAAAGUCAAAUUCCUGUUUCUCCCCAUCAAUCUCUUCUUGAUGAAAGAUCCCUUACUCAUUAAAGAAGCUGGAAACGGA
Tupaia belangeri chinensis (Chinese tree shrew) is the source of this 1082-nucleotide long non-coding RNA. RefSeq lists it as uncharacterized. The record is from RefSeq and is a predicted model, not a curated record. NCBI's taxonomy places the organism in Eukaryota, Metazoa, Chordata, Mammalia, Scandentia, Tupaiidae. The transcript has 2 exons.